Non-coding RNA from Chiloscyllium plagiosum (whitespotted bambooshark), 175 nucleotides. The record is from RefSeq and is a predicted model, not a curated record. Lineage: Eukaryota; Metazoa; Chordata; Chondrichthyes; Orectolobiformes; Hemiscylliidae.
GUGCAGAGUCGCUGUAAUGAUGCUCGGGAAGUUCUGGAGAGAAAGGAUACGAUACCAGUGAUUAAUGCCAAAACCCUGUUGCUUGUGGAGACGGUAAUGUUUGACUUUCUUGUACAGCUGCAGGUGCUCCCACAAUGUGGUUGGAUUCCACCAUCUGCCGAGCUGGGAUUCGAAC